AUAAGAAGCAAAAUUUGCAUUUAGUUUCGACCUAAAAAUCUGAUAUAAUUUAUAUCCUUAUUUU
This 64-nucleotide transfer RNA is filed under the name Agapanthia daurica. RNAcentral's name for it is "tRNA-Arg". The record is from RNAcentral. Lineage: Eukaryota; Metazoa; Arthropoda; Insecta; Coleoptera; Cerambycidae.